AGCGUAGACGGCAAGGCAAGUCUGAUGUGAAAACCCAGGGCUUAACCCCUGGGACUGCAUUGGAAACUGUCUGGCUCGAGUGCCGGAGAGGUAAGCGGAAUUCCUAGUGUAGCGGUGAAAUGCGUAGAUAUUAGGAAGAACACCAGUGGCGAAGGCGGCUUACUGGACGGUAACUGACGUUGAGGCUCGAAAGCGUGGGGAGGCAAAACA
This 210-nucleotide ribosomal RNA is filed under the name uncultured bacterium. RNAcentral describes it as "partial 16S ribosomal RNA". It matches the Rfam family "Bacterial small subunit ribosomal RNA", at positions 568 to 776 of the family's 1533-position model. The record is from RNAcentral.